RNAcentral lists this ribosomal RNA (812 nucleotides) under uncultured bacterium. Its description in RNAcentral is "bacterial SSU rRNA". It matches the Rfam family "Bacterial small subunit ribosomal RNA", at positions 74 to 901 of the family's 1533-position model. The record is from RNAcentral.
GAGAGCUUGCUUUCUCGAGCGAGUGGCGAACGGGUGAGUAACGCGUGAGGAACCUGCCUCAAAGAGGGGGACAACAGUUGGAAACGACUGCUAAUACCGCAUAAGCCCACGGGUCGGCAUCGACCAGAGGGAAAAGGAGCAAUCCGCUUUGAGAUGGCCUCGCGUCCGAUUAGCUAGUUGGUGAGGUAAUGGCCCACCAAGGCAACGAUCGGUAGCCGGACUGAGAGGUUGAACGGCCACAUUGGGACUGAGACACGGCCCAGACUCCUACGGGAGGCAGCAGUGGGGAAUAUUGCACAAUGGGGGAAACCCUGAUGCAGCGACGCCGCGUGGAGGAAGAAGGUCUUCGGAUUGUAAACUCCUGUUGUUGGGGAAGAUAAUGACGGUACCCAACAAGGAAGUGACGGCUAACUACGUGCCAGCAGCCGCGGUAAAACGUAGGUCACAAGCGUUGUCCGGAAUUACUGGGUGUAAAGGGAGCGCAGGCGGGAAGACAAGUUGGAAGUGAAAUCUAUGGGCUCAACCCAUAAACUGCUUUCAAAACUGUUUUUCUUGAGUAGUGCAGAGGUAGGCGGAAUUCCCGGUGUAGCGGUGGAAUGCGUAGAUAUCGGGAGGAACACCGGUGGCGAAGGCGGCCUACUGGGCACCAACUGACGCUGAGGCUCGAAAGUGUGGGUAGCAAACAGGAUUAGAUACCCUGGUAGUCCACACCGUAAACGAUGAUUACUAGGUGUUGGAGGAUUGACCCCUUCAGUGCCGCAGUUAACACAAUAAGUAAUCCACCUGGGGAGUACGACCGCAAGGUUGAAACU